Molecule: ribosomal RNA, 733 nt
Filed under: uncultured Gammaproteobacteria bacterium
Lineage: Bacteria; Pseudomonadati; Pseudomonadota; Gammaproteobacteria
Description: bacterial SSU rRNA
Rfam family: Bacterial small subunit ribosomal RNA
Source: RNAcentral
AACAGGAUUAGAUACCCUGGUAGUCCACGCCGUAAACGAUGUCGACUUGGAGGUUGUGCCCUUGAGGCGUGGCUUCCGGAGCUAACGCGUUAAGUCGACCGCCUGGGGAGUACGGCCGCAAGGUUAAAACUCAAAUGAAUUGACGGGGGCCCGCACAAGCGGUGGAGCAUGUGGUUUAAUUCGAUGCAACGCGAAGAACCUUACCUACUCUUGACAUCCAGAGAACUUAGCAGAGAUGCUUUGGUGCCUUCGGGAACUCUGAGACAGGUGCUGCAUGGCUGUCGUCAGCUCGUGUUGUGAAAUGUUGGGUUAAGUCCCGCAACGAGCGCAACCCUUAUCCUUUGUUGCCAGCGGUUCGGCCGGGAACUCAAAGGAGACUGCCAGUGAUAAACUGGAGGAAGGUGGGGAUGACGUCAAGUCAUCAUGGCCCUUACGAGUAGGGCUACACACGUGCUACAAUGGCGCAUACAAAGAGAAGCGACCUCGCGAGAGCAAGCGGACCUCAUAAAGUGCGUCGUAGUCCGGAUUGGAGUCUGCAACUCGACUCCAUGAAGUCGGAAUCGCUAGUAAUCGUAGAUCAGAAUGCUACGGUGAAUACGUUCCCGGGCCUUGUACACACCGCCCGUCACACCAUGGGAGUGGGUUGCACCAGAAGUAGCUAGUCUAACCUUCGGGAGGACGGUUACCACGGUGUGAUUCAUGACUGGGGUGAAGUCGUAACAAGGUAGCCGUA